GACAGAGGGUGCAAACGUUGUUCGGAAUUACUGGGCGUAAAGCGAGUGUAGGCGGUCCGACAAGUCAGGUGUGAAAGCCCUGGGCUCAACCCAGGAAGUGCACUUGAAACUGCCGGGCUAGAGUACUGGAGAGGUUGGUGGAAUUCUCGGUGUAGAGGUGAAAUUCGUAGAUAUCGAGAGGAACACCGGUGGCGAAGGCGGCCAACUGGACAGAUACUGACGCUGAGACUCGAAAGCGUGGGGAGCAAACAGG
This 253-nucleotide ribosomal RNA is filed under the name uncultured bacterium. Its description in RNAcentral is "partial 16S ribosomal RNA". It matches the Rfam family "Bacterial small subunit ribosomal RNA", at positions 524 to 776 of the family's 1533-position model. The record is from RNAcentral.